AUUCAUGCCCAUAUCCGAAUAUAUCAUUUUUUAUUUCUUAUAUACAUAUCUAAAAUCAUAUCAGUGUAACAGCAAAUACAUUUGCACCAUUAAAUUCAGAUUCUAAAAAAAUUUUGGGUAUCUAUACCCAUUGACAUCUCUAGGUGUACACGAGAUUUUAUAUUCACGUCGACACCCACCAACACCACAACACAUAUAAAAACUUCCAUUAAGGUUAAAUUUGAUAAUGCGGUGGUUAAAAAUACAAAAUUUAUUUUUUGAAAGGUCUAAAAAUUUUAAAACGUUCAUAAUUUUUUCUCCUCCAAUACUUUAAAUUUGUCAUUGUAAUCGCGAAAGAAAAAAUAUAUAGCUACAUGUUUUUUUUGUGAGAGUUACAACUGUAAUUUUAUAGUGUAAAAAAAGAAAAAAUAAAAACUCUUUUAAAGUUUUAGUCUUCCAUAAUAUAAAAAGUACACUUUUAACCACCAUAUUAUCUAAGUUUAGUACUGUUAGGGCGUUAUUUGGUUCACUUCUUUUUUACCCCGCAAUCGGAAUCGGAAUGGGCGAAUCCAUUUAUAGGCGUUUGAUAUACGGGAGUCCCAUUCCGAUUCCGAUUCCCGAAUGGAAUGGAAAUCCCUCAAUCGCCUCUUUUUCCAAUCCGGUCUAGAAGGUCGGAUUGGAAGUUGAAUCUGGGCGGAAUGAAUAUUUUUUAACUUUUUUAAUUAAGAUAUGAGAUUAAAUUUAGAAAUUAAAUAUAUAAUUUAAAAUUUUAAUUUGAACUUGAAUUAAAAAUUUAAAUUAAAUCAAAUAUUUCGAAUCUAAAUUAUGAAUUUGAAUUUAAAUUAAAUUUUAAUUUAUAUAAAAUUUUAUUCAAAUUUUAUUUACAACUUAAAUUAAAUUUAUGGAUUCAAAUUAAAAUUUAAAUUAUAAUUUCAAGUUUGAAUUUGAAUAAAUCAAAAUUUAGUUUUAUAUUUUGAAUUUCCACUCAAACUUCAAAGUUUAAUUUUUUAAAAAAUUUAAAUUUUGAUAUUAUUUCAAAAUUUUGAUGUAAAUUUUUAAUAUUUAAUUUUCAGUUUGCAUUUAAAUUAAUAUAUUAUAAAGAUAAAGUUAGUAUAUUAAUUUGAUUACUUUUUUUAUAUCUAUCUGAACCAAACACCGAGAAUGAUUUAUUCCGAUUCCGAUUCAGGUAAUGAAUCAAAUAGAAUUAGAUAAUGAGUCAUUCCGAUUCCGAUCCUAGCUUAUUUCGAUUUCGAUUCUAAUUACGAUUUCGACUUCAAACCAAACACGCACUUAAUGUGUGUUUCCCGUUUGUUUGAA
Molecule: long non-coding RNA, 1296 nt
Filed under: Ananas comosus (pineapple)
Lineage: Eukaryota; Viridiplantae; Streptophyta; Magnoliopsida; Poales; Bromeliaceae
Description: long non-coding RNA (ACOM_LNC005980)
Source: RNAcentral